GUGCUUGCUUCAGCAACAUGUAUACUAAAAUUGGAACAAUACAAAGAAGAUUAGCAUGGCCCCUGCACAAGGAUGACAGGUAACUUUCAUGGAGUAUUCCAUAUUUUU
Molecule: small nuclear RNA, 108 nt
Organism: Rhinolophus ferrumequinum (greater horseshoe bat)
Lineage: Eukaryota; Metazoa; Chordata; Mammalia; Chiroptera; Rhinolophidae
Source: Ensembl